RNAcentral lists this long non-coding RNA (417 nucleotides) under Chinchilla lanigera (long-tailed chinchilla). Its description in RNAcentral is "lncRNA (ENSCLAG00000026588.1)". Lineage: Eukaryota; Metazoa; Chordata; Mammalia; Rodentia; Chinchillidae. The record is from RNAcentral.
UAAUCUUGUGAUUCUUCUGCUUUAGAUCCCCAGAGUGCUAGGAUUAGAGAUGUGUGCCACUACAUCCUUUGAGAAUUUAAUAUUUGAACACUGGAAUGCAUCUACAGUCUUCUGUUCCUUUGUGAAAGAUGGAAUUUGGUCAUGACUGAGGACCCCAGGAUCAGUGCACUGACUAUAUUCACCAAGUAGAAGGUAAAAGAUGAACACCCAGAGGUGAAACUUGUGAUCUCAGCCUUGCUAUUCCUUGAUCAUAAUUUGCUGAAACAUUCUACUAGGAGAAUGAAUGAAAGAGAACAACAUAAAAUACUACAGGCAUAUUUAAAAAAAUAAAAUCUUGUGGUGCCAAAAAAUUAUAUAUAAAAAGUUUAGAUUUUUAAAGGCAGUUCCCACAUUACUUGAUUAGGUCUUAAUCUCAAA